RNAcentral lists this ribosomal RNA (879 nucleotides) under Curvularia pseudolunata. RNAcentral describes it as "eukaryotic LSU rRNA". It matches the Rfam family "Eukaryotic large subunit ribosomal RNA", at positions 66 to 963 of the family's 3401-position model. The record is from RNAcentral. RNAcentral also lists the same sequence under 1 other name. Lineage: Eukaryota; Fungi; Ascomycota; Dothideomycetes; Pleosporales; Pleosporaceae.
CAACAGGGAUUGCCCUAGUAACGGCGAGUGAAGCGGCAACAGCUCAAAUUUGAAAUCUGGCUCUUUCAGAGUCCGAGUUGUAAUUUGCAGAGGGCGCUUUGGCUUUGGCAGCGGUCCAAGUUCCUUGGAACAGGACGUCACAGAGGGUGAGAAUCCCGUACGUGGUCGCUAGCUAUUGCCGUGUAAAGCCCCUUCGACGAGUCGAGUUGUUUGGGAAUGCAGCUCUAAAUGGGAGGUAAAUUUCUUCUAAAGCUAAAUAUUGGCCAGAGACCGAUAGCGCACAAGUAGAGUGAUCGAAAGAUGAAAAGCACUUUGGAAAGAGAGUCAAACAGCACGUGAAAUUGUUGAAAGGGAAGCGCUUGCAGCCAGACUUGCUUGCAGUUGCUCAUCCGGGCUUUUGCCCGGUGCACUCUUCUGUAGGCAGGCCAGCAUCAGUUUGGGCGGUGGGAUAAAGGUCUCUGUCACGUACCUUCCUUCGGGUUGGCCUUAUAGGGGAGACGCCAUACCACCAGCCUGGACUGAGGUCCGCGCAUCUGCUAGGAUGCUGGCGUAAUGGCUGUAAGCGGCCCGUCUUGAAACACGGACCAAGGAGUCUAACAUCUAUGCGAGUGUUUGGGUGUCAAGCCCGAACGCGUAAUGAAAGUGAACGGAGGUGGGAACCCGCAAGGGUGCACCAUCGACCGAUCCUGAAGUUUACGGAAGGAUUUGAGUAAGAGCAUGGCUGUUGGGACCCGAAAGAUGGUGAACUAUGCUUGAAUAGGGUGAAGCCAGAGGAAACUCUGGUGGAGGCUCGCAGCGGUUCUGACGUGCAAAUCGAUCGUCAAAUUUGGGCAUAGGGGCGAAAGACUAAUCGAACUAUCUAGUAGCUGGUUUCCUGCC